RNAcentral lists this non-coding RNA (29 nucleotides) under Mus musculus (house mouse). The record is from RNAcentral. RNAcentral also lists the same sequence under 1 other name. Lineage: Eukaryota; Metazoa; Chordata; Mammalia; Rodentia; Muridae.
UUGUCUUCAUUUUGAAAUUGCAGCUUUAC